Molecule: ribosomal RNA, 300 nt
Filed under: uncultured Ferroglobus sp.
Lineage: Archaea; Methanobacteriati; Methanobacteriota; Archaeoglobi; Archaeoglobales; Archaeoglobaceae
Description: bacterial SSU rRNA
Rfam family: Bacterial small subunit ribosomal RNA
Source: RNAcentral
UCGAUCGGCGGGCCUGCGGGUGAGGUAAUAGGUAGGGUGCAAGCUGUAUUGUGAAUGACUGGGCGUAAAGCGUGCGCAGGCGGUUUUGUAAGCCAGAGGUGAAAUCCCCGAGCUUAACUUGGGAACUGCGUUUGGAACUACAAGACUAGAGUGUGUCAGAGGGGGGUAGAAUUCCACGUGUAGCAGUGAAAUGCGUAGAGAUGUGGAGGAAUACCGAUGGCGAAGGCAGCCCCCUGGGAUAACACUGACGCUCAUGCACGAAAGCGUGGGGAGCAAACAGGAUUAGAUACCCGAGUAGUC